GCUUGAAUAGCUCAGUUGGUAGAGUGCAGGGCUCUGAUCGAUAACCUGGUAUAAAAGGUUGUGGGUUCGAUUCCCACCUCUGCCA
Molecule: transfer RNA, 85 nt
Filed under: Xenopus laevis (African clawed frog)
Lineage: Eukaryota; Metazoa; Chordata; Amphibia; Anura; Pipidae
Rfam family: tRNA
About the family: Transfer RNA (tRNA) molecules are approximately 80 nucleotides in length. Their secondary structure includes four short double-helical elements and three loops (D, anti-codon, and T loops).
Source: Rfam by way of RNAcentral